UUCUUAUCCAGAGUGGCGGAGGGACUGGCCCGAUGAAGCCCGGCAACCCCUUUAGGGUGGGUGCCAAUUCCGGAAGAAUACUUUGUAUUCUUUAAGAUGAGAA
Molecule: non-coding RNA, 103 nt
Filed under: Sulfobacillus thermosulfidooxidans
Lineage: Bacteria; Bacillati; Bacillota; Clostridia; Eubacteriales; Clostridiales Family XVII. Incertae Sedis
Also listed under: 1 other name
Description: SAM-I sequence
Rfam family: SAM riboswitch aptamer (S box leader)
About the family: The SAM riboswitch is found upstream of a number of genes which code for proteins involved in methionine or cysteine biosynthesis in Gram-positive bacteria. The SAM riboswitch acts at the level of transcription termination control.
Source: RNAcentral